UACGUAGGCAGCAAGCGUUUGUUCGGAAUACUGGGCGUAAAGAGUGUGUAGGUGGUGCACUAAGUCUGUCGUGAAAUCUCCCGGCUUAACUGGGAGGGUGCGGCGGAAACUGGUGUGCUCGAGUAUGGGAGAGGAGAGUGGAAUUCCCAGUGUAGAGGUGAAAUUCGUAGAUAUUGGGAAGAACACCGGUGGCGAAGGCGGCUCUCUGGACCACAACUGACGCUGAGGCGCGAAAGCGUGGGGAGCAAACAGG
Molecule: ribosomal RNA, 253 nt
Filed under: uncultured bacterium
Lineage: Bacteria
Description: partial 16S ribosomal RNA
Rfam family: Bacterial small subunit ribosomal RNA
Source: RNAcentral